UACGUAGGGGGCGAGCGUUGUCCGGAAUUACUGGGCGUAAAGCGCGCGUAGGCGGAUUAUUAAGUCAGAUGUGAAAACUCUGGGCUCAACCGAGAGCAUGCAUCUGAUACUGGUAGUCUUGAGUGUAGAAGAGGAGAGUGGAAUUCCUAGUGUAGCGGUGAAAUGCGUAGAUAUUAGGAGGAACACCAGUGGCGAAGGCGACUCUCUGGUCUAUAACUGACGCUGAGGCGCGAAAGCGUGGGGAGCAAACAGGAUUAGAUACCCUGGUAGUCCACGCCGUAAACGAUGGGUACUAGGUGUUGGGGGUUUCGACGCCCUCAGUGCCGGAGUAAACACAAUAAGUACCCACCUGGGGAGUACGACCGCAAGGUUGAA
This 375-nucleotide ribosomal RNA is filed under the name uncultured bacterium. Its description in RNAcentral is "bacterial SSU rRNA". It matches the Rfam family "Bacterial small subunit ribosomal RNA", at positions 524 to 898 of the family's 1533-position model. The record is from RNAcentral.